RNAcentral lists this small RNA (296 nucleotides) under Mus pahari (shrew mouse). Its description in RNAcentral is "sRNA (MGP_PahariEiJ_G0008253.1)". The record is from RNAcentral. Lineage: Eukaryota; Metazoa; Chordata; Mammalia; Rodentia; Muridae.
AAGUGUGAGGGUGUUUGAUGUGAGCUCUGUCACACACCGUUUAUCACCACGGCUGACUGGCUGGUCUGAUUGGCUAUAUGAGUGACACCUUCCUUCCUCUCUCCUUCAUGUGCAUUCUUCUUGUCGAUGUAUGCUUGCUUCCAGCCAAGGGUGUGUGAGUCCAAGCCACACCCCCUGCUCGAACCCCCAGACAAGCCAACAAGCUCUCUGGGUUCAUCUAUGGGAGAACAUUAGGUAGUCAGGAUUCUUUUUAAAGAGAGGAAAACAUAAUCCUAAUGAGGAGGAUGGGUAGCUUA